This 253-nucleotide ribosomal RNA is filed under the name uncultured bacterium. Its description in RNAcentral is "partial 16S ribosomal RNA". It matches the Rfam family "Bacterial small subunit ribosomal RNA", at positions 524 to 776 of the family's 1533-position model. The record is from RNAcentral.
UACGUAGGGGGCAAGCGUUGUCCGGAUUUACUGGGCGUAAAGCGCGCGUAGGCGGACGGGCAAGUCCGGUGUGAAAGCCCCCAGCUCAACUGGGGAAGGACGCUGGAAACUGCCCGUCUUGAGGGCGGCAGAGGGAAGUGGAAUUGCUGGUGUAGCGGUGAAAUGCGUAGAUAUCAGCAGGAACACCCGUGGCGAAGGCGGCUUUCUGGGCCGCACCUGACGCUGAGGCGCGAAAGCGUGGGGAGCGAACGGG